GACGAACGCUGGCGGCGCGCCUAACACAUGCAAGUCGAGCGAUGAAAUUUUAACCGAUCUCUUCGGAGAGAAGAUAAAAUGGAUUAGCGGCGGACGGGUGAGUAACACGUUAGAAACCUGCCUUUCACAAGGGGAUAGCCUCGGGAAACCGGGAUUAAUACCCUAUGACACAUUUCCUUCGCAUGGAAGAAAUGUUAAAACUCCGGUGGUGAAAGAUGGUCUCGCGCCUGAUUAGCUAGUUGGUGGGGUAACGGCCCACCAAGGCCAAGAUCAGUAACCGGCAUGAGGGGGUGAACGGUAACAUUGGAAGUGGGACAAGUUCCAAACUCCUACGGGAGGGAGCAGUGGGGAAUAUUGCACAAUGGAGGAAACUCUGAGGCAGCGAGGCCGCGUGAGCGAUGAAGGCUGUCGAGUCGUAAAGCUCUGUCCUAUGGGAAGAUAAUGACGGAACCAUAGGAGGAAGCCCCGCCUAACUACGU
RNAcentral lists this ribosomal RNA (479 nucleotides) under uncultured bacterium. RNAcentral describes it as "partial 16S ribosomal RNA". It matches the Rfam family "Bacterial small subunit ribosomal RNA", at positions 28 to 506 of the family's 1533-position model. The record is from RNAcentral.